Molecule: long non-coding RNA, 230 nt
Filed under: Eucalyptus grandis
Lineage: Eukaryota; Viridiplantae; Streptophyta; Magnoliopsida; Myrtales; Myrtaceae
Description: long non-coding RNA (EGRA_LNC000203)
Source: RNAcentral
GGGACUCUCAAGAAAUAGUGUGUAUCGAUUAAUUCAAAAGCUAUUAUCCUGAGGAGCAGUGGAUCUAAUGUAGAUCUCGUUGGAGUUGAAACUGUCUACACACGUCAUUUGACGAGAGGAGUAUCUCUUUUUCCAGUUGGCAUGGGCCAGUCUUCUCAGCCACCGCCCAAACAAUCAUAUACACAAGCAUCCAAGAAAGUGGACAUGUCGGGUAAUUCCGUACAUGAUGA